UACGUAGGUGGCAAGCGUUGUCCGGAAUUAUUGGGCGUAAAACGCGCGCAGGCGGUCCUUUAAGUCUGAUGUGAAAGCCCACGGCUCAACCGUGGAGGGUCAUUGGAAACUGGGGGACUUGAGUGCAGAAGAGGAGAGUGGAAUUCCACGUGUAGCGGUGAAAUGCGUAGAGAUGUGGAGGAACACCAGUGGCGAAGGCGACUCUCUGGUCUGUAACUGACGCUGAGGCGCGAAAGCGUGGGGAGCAAACAGG
Molecule: ribosomal RNA, 253 nt
Filed under: uncultured bacterium
Lineage: Bacteria
Description: partial 16S ribosomal RNA
Rfam family: Bacterial small subunit ribosomal RNA
Source: RNAcentral